GAUGGUGUAGCUCGGUGGUAGAGUGUGUGCUUAGCUUGCACGAGGUCCUGGGUUCAAUCCCCAGUUCCUCCA
This 72-nucleotide transfer RNA is filed under the name Camelus bactrianus (Bactrian camel). It matches the Rfam family "tRNA". Rfam says of the family: Transfer RNA (tRNA) molecules are approximately 80 nucleotides in length. Their secondary structure includes four short double-helical elements and three loops (D, anti-codon, and T loops). Lineage: Eukaryota; Metazoa; Chordata; Mammalia; Artiodactyla; Camelidae. The record is from Rfam by way of RNAcentral. RNAcentral also lists the same sequence under 2 other names.